CAGCGUUGGCAAGCCUCGUCUCGCGUUCACGGAGGAGGAGGGGGCUAUAAAAGCAACAUGUUCUCACAAGCAUGGCAGAGCCCAUGCAUAAACCAUUUGGCUUUGCAAUUAAAAACAGGUUUGGCUUCCCUCUGCAUCGGUUAGACAACGUCAAAGCACCAUUCGUCCCGAAAACGUUCCCUUGUGAAUUCCAAUGAACUGCAGUACAGUAAACUUGACUACAAUGAUGUAACGAUGGCUAAUUACAUCUUUAUCACUGUCAUUCCUGGAUGGUGCACUUGACUGCUGGAUCCCAUAGUAUUUGGAGAAAUCACUACUUCACAGCUAAAACCCUUCCCCUUGCCGUACAGCGACGAGCUUAGAAGAUACGACACAGGCCAAUCCCAGUUGCAGUGAAAUCAUCUAUUUUUUACAAGAUAGUUGGCUUCCUCUGUUUUUUUCUCUCAUUCUUUUCCCCGUUUAAUUAAACAGAAAGAAACAAAAGAGAUACUGCCGUUGAGUGUUUGCUGCAAAAGACAGUUUCGAAAGUUCUGCCACAGAAGAAAUCGCAAAGUUGCGAAACCUAAGCCGUGAUUCACAAACCGGCAGAAGAGUUGCAUUCUGCCUGCGAAGAGAUCUCAGCACGAGAAGAGGCCACCAGCACCCAGGCCCAUCCACUGAUACACAAAGUUCUGUGACAAGACAGUAUGGCACAAACGUCAAUUUGUCGAUACUAAUGGUGAGGAUCAACAUUAAUUAAAAGACAGAGACAGACAAAAAAGAACAAUUGAUGUCAGUGCCACGUACUUGAUGUAAAAGUUACCAUGGAACGAUACUUGCUCUGUUUAAUUUACAAUUCUCACCAAACUCCACUUAAGAAAUUUUAGCUUCUUGAGUUAUUUAUUUAGUUUAUUAUUUUCAGUCUCUUUGGGCGAAAUGAUCUUCUCUCACACUACCCCUCCAAAAGUUGUUCAAUGGAGUAAUUGCUAAAAUGCAGAAGGACUUUUUACUGCAUCAUUUUGAAGUGCGUAAUUUGGCAUAAAGGUAAAACAUUUUUAGAAAGUAUGAAGCAAAAACAUUAUCAGAACAAAGUAAAGAAAAAUAUGCGAACACGUAUAAUAGUAUGUGUGAUUGCAUUGCAAACCUUAAAAAAAUGUUGAAUCUAUUUUGUCAUAUAUUUUAGUUAGAUGCAUGCACAUAAUUUCAUAUUUCUCACAAAAAAAAUAUGUGUUGCGUGUUUUUGGGCUGUGGACUCACAGUGAAUAGAAAAAGAAAAUACGUGUUCUUAAGUAUGAAUUUUUAUAUUUGCCUUGAGGAAGGAAAUCAAUUCCCUCAAUUAACAAGGUAUUAACCAUAAAUAAAUAUUUUCCAUUUUCAUUAAUUCCAUGUACUGGAAGUUUUUUAUUGACUUGGGCUCCCUUUUGCUGGACUGUGUGUUUUAUAACCGUAUACAUUAAAGGUAGAGCAUAAGAAGUAACGUUAAAUUCAGUCCAGCUAAGGCAGAGAGAUAAAUUCACCCUCCAAUGUCAGGAAAAUCGCAUUACUACUUUGUAAAAAAAUAUAUAUAUAUGCCUGUAAAAAUAAAGUAGCAAUACACGUGUGUGCAAAUAAAAUAAUUCCACAAAUCUUUAUGUAA
Long non-coding RNA from Herpailurus yagouaroundi (jaguarundi), 1615 nucleotides. RefSeq lists it as uncharacterized. NCBI's taxonomy places the organism in Eukaryota, Metazoa, Chordata, Mammalia, Carnivora, Felidae. The record is from RefSeq and is a predicted model, not a curated record. The transcript has 2 exons.